Molecule: non-coding RNA, 79 nt
Filed under: Polarella glacialis
Lineage: Eukaryota; Dinophyceae; Suessiales; Suessiaceae
Source: RNAcentral
CAUGCAGCACUUGGCUUUGCAGGAGGCAGCCGGCGAGGAAGUCAAGGAGAGCGACCUGAUUAGCUGGUACAUGGAGCAG